RNAcentral lists this ribosomal RNA (253 nucleotides) under uncultured bacterium. RNAcentral's name for it is "partial 16S ribosomal RNA". It matches the Rfam family "Bacterial small subunit ribosomal RNA", at positions 524 to 776 of the family's 1533-position model. The record is from RNAcentral.
UACGUAGGGACCGAGCGUUGUCCGGAAUCAUUGGGCGUAAAGAGCGUGUAGGCGGCCACUUAAGUCCUGCGUGAAAUCUUGCGGCUCAACCGCAAGCGGUCGUGGGAAACUGGGUGGCUAGAGUGCGGGAGAGGAGAGUGGAAUUCCUGGUGUAGCGGUGGAAUGCGCAGAUAUCAGGAGGAACACCAAUGGCGAAGGCAGCUCGCUGGGACGGUACUGACGCUGAGACGCGAAAGCGUGGGGAGCAAACAGG